This 433-nucleotide ribosomal RNA is filed under the name uncultured bacterium. RNAcentral's name for it is "partial 16S ribosomal RNA". It matches the Rfam family "Bacterial small subunit ribosomal RNA", at positions 29 to 507 of the family's 1533-position model. The record is from RNAcentral.
AACGAACGCUGGCGGCAUGCCUAACACAUGCAAGUCGAACGAGACCUUCGGGUCUAGUGGCGCACGGGUGCGUAACGCGUGGGAACCUGCCCUUAGGUUCGGAAUAACUCCCCGAAAGGGGUGCUAAUACCGGAUAAUGUCUUCGGACCAAAGAUUUAUCGCCUUUGGAUGGGCCCGCGUUGGAUUAGCUAGUUGGUAGGGUAAAAGCCUACCAAGGCGACGAUCCAUAGCUGGUCUGAGAGGAUGAUCAGCCACACUGGGACUGAGACACGGCCCAGACUCCUACGGGAGGCAGCAGUAGGGAAUAUUGGACAAUGGGCGAAAGCCUGAUCAAGCAAUGCCGCGUGAGUGAUGAAGGCCUUAGGGUUGUAAAGCUCUUUUACCCGGGAUGAUAAUGACAGUACCGGGAGAAUAAGCUCCGGCUAACUCCGUG